Long non-coding RNA from Gymnodraco acuticeps, 2008 nucleotides. RefSeq lists it as uncharacterized. NCBI's taxonomy places the organism in Eukaryota, Metazoa, Chordata, Actinopteri, Perciformes, Bathydraconidae. The record is from RefSeq and is a predicted model, not a curated record. The transcript is spliced from 2 exons.
GCUAAGCUAAAGGUGGCUAAUGUUGGGCUAUAAAGGAACUACAGCACGGUCACAUGACUUCACGUCACCACCGCUAAGCUAAAGGCGGCUAAUGUUGGGCUAUAAAGGAACUGCAUUUUUGAGUUUCAGUAUAUUGUUGAUCAGUGGCAAACAAAAGUGUAUGAUACUUUUAAUUGUAGGUAGGUUUAAUCUCCACAUUAUGAUUUCUGAAGUAAAAAGCUAACGUUGGGCUAUAAAUGAACUACAGCACGGUCACAUGACUUCACAUCACCACCCCUAAGCUAAAGGCGGCUAAUGUUGGGUGUUAUGACGUUUAGUCGUCAGAUUUAGACUCUUCUUAGCAACCGCCGCGUUUUAAAUCCACCAAUGGGGUAUUUUCUGACGUAUUUGUGGUAUAUGUGGUAGAACUAAAAUCUAUUCAGCUUGUGUUAACACAGACCUUAUUUCAACCAAAAACACAUUAAAAAAAACACUUGAGUGGAAGACGUAGGGACCAGAAAAGUGUAAAAUUCUAAAUAAUGUUCAGGCCAUUCUAUAUCAGAUCACAACAGUACUCAAACAAGAAGACUUAAAGGAUAAAAGGUGAGGCUCCCUACAGAUUAACGGCUGCACUAUCAUUGAUAUACAACUACAGAACAGAAUUGUAGUAUUAUUGUUGUAUUGUUUUAAGUGUCGGACCCCAGGAAGAGUAGCUUUUGUCAAGAGCAAAAGCUACUGGGGAUCCUUAAUAAACAUAAACAGGACAAUUACACCUGCAAUUGUCUGGUCGCCAUCUUCCCAUCUUUCUGCUAGACUUCAUUUCACUGACAGUCACUCAUUAUUUACGUGCUUUAUGGAAAGACAAGUUGAACUGAGGUUAACCACUCUGCCAAAUGGUCUGCCCUCAGUUUCUGCUAACACUUGCAGGCGCAGCUCAACGAGGUCAAGGUCAAACUGUCAAACUGAAGCUGCAGGAUCUCAUUAAGCAGCCAUUGACAUCCCACAUGAUUCUAUUAGGAGUCACUCUAAUCAGAGGGAAAAUGACCCUCUGCUGUCGACAGCCUAAUCAUCAAUUACUGAAAUAACUGUGUGUGGACUGAGGUAAACUGUAAUGUCACACAACUACCUUUAGACAGACACAUCAACGUCAAAGAUUCAAAGGUUUUAUUGCCAUAUACACAUAAAAAAUAGUGCAAGAAGUCUAUAUACACUUAAAUAGAAUAUGAUAUACAAGAACAGAAUGUAUAAUUAAAUAUUGUACAGUAAGAUCAAAUGAAAUACGGUUUAUUGCGGUGAUAACUAAUUAGAUAAAUAAGUAUUUUGUGUGUUUCUAUAAUGUUACAACAGACUAAUUUUGGGGUGUGUUAUAUAGGUGUGUGUGCAUGUUAACGGUCUGCAAAGGCCAAAAUCCCUGUGUUCCCUAUCACAGCAUUUGUUAAAUUUGCUAUAACUAUAACAUGUUUUGUGAUUUGUUUGGAGCAUGCUGCCCUUUACCUCACCUCAUGUGUCCUUGUUAAUGGACUGGUCUUGAAGCAGAAUAUGGUUGUAACAUGUUUUUGUUUUGUGUGCCGAAUAGGGAAAGCGUUAAAAUUGAUACAAAAUAAAAAGCAGGGGUCUGAGCUCAUGCGGGACCCGGCAGCUACCGUCUAAACUAAAUGCUGCCGUGAUGAAACGCCAUAUCAUGGAUAUCAAGGAUUCUCUCUGAAACAGUUUGGAGCUCAAAGGCUUUCUCUCUUGCCGGUUAUACCACAAGAAGAACCAAUAUAACCUGUAUCAUCCUCAUCGCGGCUCGCUCUCCUGGCUGCUGUCCAGCUUCUGCUGAAAGAAAAAAACCCAACAAAGGAGAGAAGAAAUAGGAUGAAUAUGAAUGAGUUCUGAACUUCCUUUUCCCAUAGUGUGUAUUUCAAAAUGAUGUGCUACGCAUGUGCUUGAAAGAUAGUUAUCUGCCGUGGUGUGACAUGCACAUAAUGCUGUGUGAUUCUGGGAGCAUGUGAAUAACUUUGUCCAUGAUUAAACCGUUUUUCUAUAA